GACGAACGCUGGCGGCGUGCUUAACACAUGCAAGUCGAACGGAAAGGCCCUGCCUUUGUGGGGUGCUCGAGUGGCGAACGGGUGAGUAACACGUGAGUAACCUGCCCUUGACUUUGGGAUAACUUCAGGAAACUGGGGCUAUUACCGGAUAGGAGCUCCUGCUGCAUGGUGGGGGUUGGAAAGCUUCGGCGGUUGGGGAUGGACUGGCGGCUUAUCAGCUUGUUGGUGGGGUAGUGGUUUACCAAGGCCUUGACGGGUAGCCGGCCUGAGAGGGUGACCGGCGACAUUGGGACUGAGGUACGGAGCAGACGCCUACGUGAGGCAGCAGUCGAGAGUAUUGCACAAUGGGCGGAAGCCUGAUACAGCAGCGCCGCGUGUGGGAUGACGGCCUUCGGGUUGUAAACCGCUUUCGCCUGUGACGAAGCGUGAGUGACGGUAAUGGGUAAAGAAGCACCGGCUAACUACGUG
RNAcentral lists this ribosomal RNA (468 nucleotides) under uncultured bacterium. Its description in RNAcentral is "partial 16S ribosomal RNA". It matches the Rfam family "Bacterial small subunit ribosomal RNA", at positions 28 to 507 of the family's 1533-position model. The record is from RNAcentral.